GUGGGGAAUAUUGGACAAUGGGCGAAAGCCUGAUCCAGCCAUGCCGCGUGUGUGAAGAAGGUCUUCGGAUUGUAAAGCACUUUAAGUUGGGAGGAAGGGCAGUAAGUUAAUACCUUGCUGUUUUGACGUUACCGACAGAAUAAGCACCGGCUAACUUCGUGCCAGCAGCCGCGGUAAUACGAAGGGUGCAAGCGUUAAUCGGAAUUACUGGGCGUAAAGCGCGCGUAGGUGGUUUUGUAAGUUGGAGGUGAAAUCCCCGGGCUCAAACUGGGAGCUGCCUCCAAAACUGCAUGACUAGAGUACGGUAGAGGGUAGUGGAAUUUCCUGUGUAGCGGUGAAAUGCGUAGAUAUAGGAAGGAACACCAGUGGCGAAGGCGACUACCUGGACUGAUACUGACACUGAGGUGCGAAAGCGUGGGGAGCAAACAGGAUUAGAAACCCUUGUAGUCC
RNAcentral lists this ribosomal RNA (450 nucleotides) under uncultured bacterium. Its description in RNAcentral is "partial 16S ribosomal RNA". It matches the Rfam family "Bacterial small subunit ribosomal RNA", at positions 354 to 796 of the family's 1533-position model. The record is from RNAcentral.